AGGAUAAACGCUGGCGGCGUGCCUAACACAUGCAAGUCGAACGGUAAGGCCUUUCGGGGUACACGAGUGGCGAACGGGUGAGUAACACGUGGGUGAUCUGCCCUGCACUUUGGGAUAAGCCUGGGAAACUGGGUCUAAUACCGAAUAUGACCAUUGGUUGCAUGACUGGUGGUGGAAAGCUUUUGCGGUGUGGGAUGGGCCCGCGGCCUAUCAGCUUGUUGGUGGGGUUAAGGCCUACCAAGGCGACGACGGGUA
Molecule: ribosomal RNA, 255 nt
Filed under: uncultured bacterium
Lineage: Bacteria
Description: partial small subunit ribosomal RNA
Rfam family: Bacterial small subunit ribosomal RNA
Source: RNAcentral